AGAUUUCUGCCUUGCUACAUGCUUGAAUACUUUAUCAUCAUUCAUCUCUCUCUCUCUCUCUCUCUCUCUCUAGCUAGCUAGUAUGUGUAUGCAUAGAUGUAUCAUAAAUGUUGCUUGGUGGGGACGGAUCCUUCAAAUUUGAUCGUGAAUAAGAUGUGGGUGCAAAGAAAUCAUUGAAUAUUCUGAAGUAGAUUUCCCGAACCAACAGAAGGAAGCGGAGUCCAGAAAGGACCUGGACCAGGAGGCGGCCGUGAAGCAGUUACAGGGUGAGGUAGACGCCCAACGCCAGCAUGCAGCAGGCCUAGAGGAGCAAGUCAACGCUCUCAAGAACCAGCUGCACCAAUACGAGUUGCAGGUCAAGGAAAAGGUAAGAGCUCUUCUUUCCCUCAAUCUGCUUCGAAUCUAUUUUCUUCUCUGUAACUUUGAAAAAAAAAAAAAGAACCACCUUCGUGGAGAGCCUGUUCCCUCUUUCGCUGAUCAUCUUUUGGUGAAGAGCGUCAACGUUUGUCCUUCUGAUCGGUUGCUUCGACGAUGACGACGC
This 541-nucleotide long non-coding RNA is filed under the name Spirodela polyrhiza (greater duckweed). Its description in RNAcentral is "long non-coding RNA (SPOL_LNC000058)". The record is from RNAcentral. Lineage: Eukaryota; Viridiplantae; Streptophyta; Magnoliopsida; Alismatales; Araceae.